CGGAUGAACGCGUGGCGGCGUGCCUAACACAUGCAAGUCGAGCGAUUCUCUUCGGAGAAGAGCGGCGGACGGGUGAGUAACGCGUGGGUAACCUGCCCUGUACACACGGAUAACAUACCGAAAGGUAUGCUAAUACGAGAUAAUAUACUUUUAUCGCAUGGUAGAAGUAUCAAAGCUUUUGCGGUACAGGAUGGACCCGCGUCUGAUUAGCUAGUUGGUAAGGUAACGGCUUACCAAGGCGACGAUCAGUAGCCGACCUGAGAGGGUGAUCGGCCACAUUGGAACUGAGACACGGUCCAAACUCCUACGGGAGGCAGCAGUGGGGAAUAUUGCACAAUGGGCGAAAGCCUGAUGCAGCAACGCCGCGUGAGCGAUGAAGGAUUUCGGUCUGUAAAACUCUGUUGUUCAUGACGAACGUUUCCUGGGUGAACAAUCCAGGGAAGUGACGGUAGUGAACGAGGAAGCCACGGCUAACUACGUG
This 481-nucleotide ribosomal RNA is filed under the name uncultured bacterium. RNAcentral describes it as "bacterial SSU rRNA". It matches the Rfam family "Bacterial small subunit ribosomal RNA", at positions 27 to 507 of the family's 1533-position model. The record is from RNAcentral.